Molecule: ribosomal RNA, 619 nt
Filed under: uncultured bacterium
Lineage: Bacteria
Description: bacterial LSU rRNA
Rfam family: Bacterial large subunit ribosomal RNA
Source: RNAcentral
AGUACCGUGAGGGAAAGGCGAAAAGAACCCCGGGAGGGGAAGUGAAAUAGAUCCUGAAAUUGUGUGCAUACAAACAGUAGGAGCCUCGUAAGGGGUGACUGCGUACCUUUUGUAUAAUGGGUCAGCGACUUACAUUCAGUAGCAAGCUUAACCGAAUAGGGAAGGCGUAGCGAAAGCGAGUCCGAAUAGGGCGCUAGUUGCUGGGUGUAGACCCCGAAACCAGUGAUCUAUUCCAUGGCCAGGAUGAAGGUGCCGUAACAGGUACUGGAGGUCCGANCCGACUAGUGUUGCAAAACUAGCGGAUGAGCUGUGGAUAGGGGUGAAAGGCUAAACAAACUUGGAAAUAGCUGGUUCUCUCCGAAAACUAUUUAGGUAGUGCCUCAAGUAUUACCGUCGGGGGUAGAGCGCUGUUUUGGCUAGGGGGUCAUGGCGACUUACCAAACCCAAGGCAAACUCCGAAUACCGACGAGUACAGCUUGGGAGACAGAGCACCGGGUGCUAACGUCCGGACUCAAGAGGGAAACAACCCAGACCGCCAGCUAAGGUCCCUAAAAUUGGCUAAGUGGGAAACGAAGUGGGAAGGCUAAAACAGUCAGGAUGUUGGCUUAGAAGCAGCCAU